This 272-nucleotide small RNA is filed under the name Pan troglodytes (chimpanzee). RNAcentral's name for it is "processed transcript". Lineage: Eukaryota; Metazoa; Chordata; Mammalia; Primates; Hominidae. RNAcentral also lists the same sequence under 1 other name. The record is from RNAcentral.
ACUUCUUCAGCUUGGGCAAGUGUGUGCCUGUGUGCCGAGGAGAUGGCGUCUACCAGAAGGGGAUGGACUUCAUUUUGGAGAAGCUCAACCAUGGGGACUGGGUGCAUAUCUUCCCAGAAGGGAAAGUGAACAUGAGUUCCGAAUUCCUGCGUUUCAAGUGGGGAAUCGGGCGCCUGAUUGCUGAGUGUCAUCUCAACCCCAUCAUCCUGCCCCUGUGGCAUGUCGGUGAGCCUGGGGACGGGGACAGAGAGAUGGCAUCUGGGGUGGGGGGC